This 1110-nucleotide long non-coding RNA is filed under the name Sparus aurata (gilthead seabream). Its description in RNAcentral is "lncRNA (ENSSAUG00010013423.1)". The record is from RNAcentral. Lineage: Eukaryota; Metazoa; Chordata; Actinopteri; Spariformes; Sparidae.
GGCACACAAGCUGAGUAUGUAGUUUAAUUAUAUUGUUAGGGUUUCUUUGUCAAGAGUUUGAAUACAUGGAAUAUGUAAAAGUACUCUUGUCCCUGUGACCAGCAGACAGAAGAACUUCACUACGGCAGCGUACGAUUCAUACGGACCCAGGCAGACACUCUUCACUCAGACGUCAGCCCAGCUCGGCCUCACAGGAAAGAGGAGGAGAAUGUUGUAUAUGCGACUACAAACUUCAUCAGGGCCUCAGGAACAAACCAUCAGGCAGCUGUGGAGGAUCCAUCUGCACUGUACAGCAGAGUUAUCAAAAGUCACUGAGUGUGAGGACAUCAUGGUUCUGUGGUUUGUAUUGAUGGAUAUUUUCUUCCCUGAUGAUUUGACUAGAACACAGCGUUUGGGCAACAAUAUUUAAUUAAAACCUCAUUCAUAUUAAUGAGAGCAGACUGAACAUUAGAGACGCCUCUGUGUGUAACACAUGCAGUUCCAAAAAUGACCACAACACCUACCUACAACUGUUUAAACAUGAAUGGAACAUUAUCACCUUCAUGAAGGCAGAAUUUAUUACAAGACUGUUGUGUUUAACUGUAUUUGUUUAGCUUUGUUGUAACUGUUUAUAUCACAAGUCAAAUAUCCUUUGUUUGUAUUCACAUGCUCAUUUUCUGAAUUUGUUUAAUUUGAUUUUUUUUUCCUUCAUGGCUUUAUUGAUAGCUCAGCUGAAGAUGUGACAGGAAACAGGAUGAGAGCGAGGGGGAGUGACAUGCAGCAGGCCGCAGGCCGGGAAUCGAACCCGGGGCCGCUGCAGCAAGGACAAAGGCUCUGUACAUGGGAUGCUUGCUUUACAAACUGAACUGAACGGCACCCCCUGAAUUUGUAUUUUUACUUCACUGAAUUCACAGCUCACUGUAAUUAACAGUCUAUAUUGCUGUUUGUGUCUAUCUACUUUGAAAACUCUGUCUACACUCGUCACAUUUCAUCAUCCUGCAUGGAAAAUAUCAAGUAAGACUUAAAAGAAAAACUCUUCUCUCUCACCGUAUGUUGGCCAAAUGACCAAAACUUUACUUUUUGUUAUUUCUCUCACAUUUACAGCUUUUUUACUUUGAAUAUGUAUUCAGG